UUUAAAACUGAACUUAACUAAAAUGCCCUUAGUCAACAAUUUUUUUAAAUAUAUAAAAAUACAAAAUUUUGUAAAAAGACCAAAAAGGACAAUGAAUACUGACGUGGUCGUUUUCGCCAUUUACACGACUACAACAACUCUACAGCACAUUCCAACAAUUUCAGAAGUCCUUCAUCGUCUCCUCUCUCAUCUGCCUCCCGUUCUUGAGAGAAGAGGCAACAAACCCUAGCCCUUGGUUUCGAUGGCGAUCACGAUCUCACGUUCUUCACAGACAGAUCAAAACCUCGCGAUAUAUUUCAUCCACUUCGUCGAUUCAGAAACUGAGCACAGUAGGUCAUUACUUGUUGGCCAGUUUGCAGGGAUGGAAUUUGGUAUCUUAGCAACAUAUGCAGAACUGUGUAGGGUAUGACUAGGAUGACUUGUAUAGGCUGCUUGCUUUUUGACUAGGAUGACUUGAUGAAAGUGGUUCUACAUCGGUUUUUAUUUUGGUGAAAGUGGUACCUUUGUUGAAGGUGAAACUGAGUUUUGUUUAUGAUGAUUAUUUUGGUAAAUUAACUAUUCCAGUUCCUGCAAGUUUUUGAAGCUACAUUGGAUUUUUUUUUUUUUUGGUUUGAUAAAUAUGUCAUUGAUAUAGUUGAAUGGUUUGAUAAA
Long non-coding RNA from Cornus florida, 651 nucleotides. RefSeq lists it as uncharacterized. The record is from RefSeq and is a predicted model, not a curated record. Lineage: Eukaryota; Viridiplantae; Streptophyta; Magnoliopsida; Cornales; Cornaceae. The transcript is spliced from 2 exons.